RNAcentral lists this ribosomal RNA (360 nucleotides) under Triticum aestivum (bread wheat). RNAcentral's name for it is "partial small subunit ribosomal RNA". Lineage: Eukaryota; Viridiplantae; Streptophyta; Magnoliopsida; Poales; Poaceae. The record is from RNAcentral.
AUGCUCAGCCGAACAGAACCAACUCAUCUCUCUCUCCCUAACUACAGAGCAGGCCGCCGCCGGCUCGAUCUGCCACUUCCGGCCAUCUCCGGCGACACCGCGGACACCCACGAAGUCCCCUCGACUCCCUCUACCAUAUCCCCCAUUUAUUUGAUCCGCCGCCGCCAAAAUCGCCGCCACCACUCAAUCCUAGCGCCGCUUGAUCCAGGUCCGGUGGGCUUGCCACCGGCUGCAGCGGCAACGACGUCUCCAUGCCUACAUCCUCCCCCAGCGCAGCCACACGCACGAGGCGUGCAGCCACGGGCGUCGGGCGCGUGCGGCUUCACCGGCGCUGCUCGGUCGCCAUGGCUCUGCUGCUAA